This 253-nucleotide ribosomal RNA is filed under the name uncultured bacterium. RNAcentral's name for it is "partial 16S ribosomal RNA". It matches the Rfam family "Bacterial small subunit ribosomal RNA", at positions 524 to 776 of the family's 1533-position model. The record is from RNAcentral.
GACGAACCGUGCGAGCGUUGUUCGGAUUCACUGGGCUUAAAGGGCGCGUAGGCGGGCGUCCAAGUCAGGGGUGAAAUCUUUCGGCUCAACCGGAAAACUGCCCCUGAUACUGGCCGUCUUGAGGGAGGUAGGGGUCUGUGGAACUUCUGGUGGAGCAGUGAAAUGCGUAGAUAUCAGAAGGAACGCCGGUGGCGAAAGCGACGGACUGGACCGUCUCUGACGCUGAGGCGCGAAAGCUAGGGUAGCGAACGGG